This 4425-nucleotide transfer RNA is filed under the name Ovis aries (sheep). RNAcentral describes it as "lncRNA (ENSOARG00000025647.1)". The stretch from base 2216 to 2286 matches the Rfam family "tRNA". Lineage: Eukaryota; Metazoa; Chordata; Mammalia; Artiodactyla; Bovidae. The record is from RNAcentral.
AUGGUUCGGAGCGCUCAUUUUUCGCCCCCGCAGAGGCAGGCAGCGAGGGCCGCGGGGGCGCAGCCUGCAGCUUCUGGAAGGUUUCUCUGUGGGGCCCGUCGUCCUGACUUGCUAAUUCUAUACGCACCUUCCCCCCCAACCCCCCACCAACCCCAGAGGAAAAUCACUAUCAAUACCUUCAACACCCGUCUCCAGGCUGCGGUAGGAGGCACCCCUCCCUCCAGAUGCGGCUCACAGGCAUCGGAGCUAAAGAAGGAGGAGGAGGUGAAUGUGGUCCUGGAGGCGCGCGGGGGGCGGGGCCGUCGCCGAGCAGUUCUACUGGAAAACCAUGAGGGAGAGGCCAUCAGGAGAAGAAAAGAAUAUUUAAAAGGAAGGGGGAGGGGAAGAAAAGCUACGACCUCAGCAGGCAGAACAGAGCCGGGAAGAUGGACCUCACAGAGCUGCCAAGAUCUGGCUCACAGGGAGGUGAGACAGUUUGGGAAGGCUCCCUGCAAAAGAAAGAAAAAACAAGUCCUGUUCCCGAAACAGCAGGUCUGGCUUUCUUGCAUGGCUGUGCACCUGUUUGCUAAUUUUCUUUUUUUAACCCGUGUACUAAUUUUAACCUUUCCCUUCCCCACCUGUCCCCACGCCCUUCUGAGCGCUGGAGUCUCAAGAACUUGGAUGGAGAAGCUGGGACACACCCUUCUGGUUCCUUCCAGUCUUGCCUGGAGAUUUCUUUCAGAAGCUCUCCAGUGCCUGUUCCUGGUCACCCACAAAACACCACUUCCCCCUCUCGGCUCAUCCUACAAACAGACCUUCUCAAGAUGUCAUCAGAGUCCUUGGCCAGUUCCCAGUGGGAGGGAUGGGGUCCCAGGGAGCCCUUUCUCUCCUGUGUUGAUUUCCUGCUGUAACAAAUGAUCAUAAACGCACUGGCUGAAAACAACAGAGAUGCGUCAUCUUACAAUUCUGGGGUCAGACAUCUGACAUGGGCACCAAAGCCGAGGUCUCAGCAGGUCUGGUUCCUCCUGGAAGCUCUGGGGACAGUCUGUUUCCUGGUGUCUUCAGCUUUCUGGUGGCAGCCUGCAUUCCACGGGCCCUCCCUCCGUCUUCAAAGCCAACAGCAAGAUCAAGUCGGCAGGAGCGGACAUGUGGAGGGCCCAUACUUGGCUGCUAGGUAGUUUCAUGAAUAUGACUGUUUCCACUCCAGCAGGGAGAGUUGCGGUGCUGGAGAAGACUCCUGAGAGUCCCUUGGACUUCAAGGAGAUCAGCCAGUCCAUCCUAAAGGAAAUCAACCCUGAAUAUUCAUUGGAAGGAUUGAUGCUGAAGCUGAAACUCCAAUACUUUGGCUACCUGUUGAGAAGAGCUAACUCAUUGGUAAAGACCCUGAUGCUGGGAAAGAUUGAGGGCAGGAGGAGAAGGGGACAACAGAGGAUGAGAUAGUUGGAUGGCAUCACUGACUCAGUGAACAUAACUUUGAGCAAACUGCAAUCCAAAGGGUCACAAAGAGUCAGACGUGACAGCGACUGAACCACAACAACAGGGGGAGUUGAGAGCGGCCCUCAGCAUUUUAUUUUGGCAACUGAGAGUGUCCUUUACUGAGACAGCGGACAAAGUUUAAGAAGGGGGCUUGAUGAGAAAAGUAGGUCAUGGUAUUUCCUCAUUUAUUUGUUAUACAAUUAUUCAUUGACUCAACUAUUCUUUGAUUUUAAUUUUUGUUUUACAUUGGAGUAGAGAAUGCUGUGUUGCUUUCAGGCAUAUAACAAAGUGAUUCAGUUAUAUCCAUGCAAGCAUCCAUUCUUUAUCAAAUUUUCCUCCCAUUUAGGUUAUUACACAAUAUUGAGCCAAGUUCCAGGUGCUAUACCAUAGGUCCUUGUUGGUUAUCUAUUUUAAAUAUACUAGUGUGUACACGUCAUUUAUCUUGAAUACUAAUCCAUAAUACAUGAAUAUUAACUUAUUCCUUCCUUCCUAAAUAUUACUUGAGACUUCUAUGUGCCACACAAUGUGCUCUUGGCACUGCUUAGACAGCUGUGAGAACAAGAUGAGUAAUGUCUCUGGCCUGGGAGUUUCAUGUCUUUUGCUAUGAGACAGGCAGGCUGACUUGUUAGCCUACAAGUAGGGUUAAAAUCUAGGACCCUUCAUAGUUCUUGACAUUGUAAAAACAAACAAACUCAUAGAAAAAUAGAUCAGAUUUGUAGCUACCAGUAGUGGAAACGGGGAAGGGGGAUUAAAUGGGCUUUCCUAGUGGCUCAGCUGGUAAAGAAUCUGCCUGCAAUGCAGGAGACUCUGGUUCAAUUCCUGAGUCAGGAAGAUCCCGAAUGGCUAUCCACUCCAAUAUUCUUGGGCUUCCCUGGUGACAUAACUGGUAAAGAAUCUGCGUAGUGGGAACAUGGAGGGGAGAUUAGAUGAAGGUAAUCAAAAGGUAUAAACUCCCAGUUAUAAUAUAAAAAAGCGCUAAGGAUGUAAUGUACAAAUGAUCAAUACAAUGGACACUGCUGUACAUUAUAUAUGAAAGUUGUUGAAAGAGAAAAUUGUAAGAGCUCUCAUCACAAGGAGAAAACUUUUUUCUAUUUCUUUCGUCUUGUGUCUUUAUGAGAUGAUGGAUGUUUACUAAAACUGGUCAUCAUUUCGUGAUGUUUACAAGUCAAAUCAUUACGCUGUACACCUUCAACAUACAGUGCUGGGUGUCAUUCUAUCUCCAUAAAACUAGAAGGAAAAAACUACGUCUUAAGACCUUUAUACAGAAAAUUUCAAUUUGGCGUUUGAAGGCUAACCAAACUCUGAAAAAACCAUUAUUAAAAUUACAUCAAUUUUAAAAGUCUUUUCACUGAGUUGAAAAGCAACUGAAUACCGAAGAAAUAUAAUAGACACUAAUUCACAAUCCUUUGAUUCGAUAAAAAUGCCUUCUUUCCCGUCCCCAGGAUGGUUUGAUUUACCAGUUUUCAGGCUGGCCAGAGUGACAGAGAAUGCCUCAUGUCCCAGUGGGUUCCUCUGCUUCUGAGGCUCCCACCUGGACCAACACUCCAGUCCCCUUUGCAGACAGAUGACGAUUCUAGCCAAUGGAACACAGGGAGAAAGAACACAAGCUACUUCCUGAUCUGACCUUGAGAAAUCUUUCGGGAAAUCCUGCUUACAUUCUCUCUUCCCAUAUCCCUUGGGAAGGGAGGACCCCAGGUCUUGGAGGAAGGCAUGGCCAUAAGGCAGAAGGAGCCUGGGUUCCUGAAUGAGGCUGUAGAGCAGACUCCCUUCCCACCAAACUCCCACCGCCAGAUACAGAAUAAACUCUAUUAUACUAAGCCACUAAAACAGCGGGAUCGUUUGUUAUGGAGGUUAACCUAUGGUGAGCCCAGUCAAACAGCUCCUGUUUCAAACUCAGAAUUGGAUUUCAGAAUUGUCACAUACACACACUUGCAGCCGUAGCUAAGUGACAUAGUCUUGUGGAGGGAAAUCCCAAGACAUGGUCACCAUCUACCAUCACACUUCGUUUUUUCUCCCCAAAUCUUGCAGGCCCCUCUAAUCCAGAGAAAUGUUCCAGAGUCAUGUAUUAUAGGUUGCUGUUAUUUUUUAGCAUUUUACAUAUAUUACAGAUCUGUGUAAAUGAUAUUAUAUGACCACUCUUGCUUAUGGAAAAAUACCAUACAAUGAUGCUUGGUUCAGAAGGAGGUUCAGCUUAUCAAGAAAGGAGAUAUUGCUAAUUCAACCUGAAUACUGAGAAUUCAAAGUCCAUGAACAUUGUUUUGGAAUGCAGCAGAGCCUUCCCCGGUCCUUACUUUAUUGACCAGAUGGUCUUGUUUUUGGAAGCUUCAGUGAACACUCAGCAAAGCAUUUCAGUCCCAAAUUAAGACUUUGAGCUACUCUUCUGUUAAUUUAAACCAGUCCUCUUAGUCAAAAUUGCCUGAACCAAGAGACUCUUUUAUGGGUGAGGAAGAAACUGACCAAAUGCACGGUCUUUAGCUCAGUUUUUGCUUUCUCCUUCUCUGACCUGCUUUCUCCUUCCAUUAUAGGAAUGGAAUUAAUAAAGAUUUAAUCUGGGAAAUAAAUUCAACUAACUCAGAAAGAAAGAAGAGACAUUGUGUUUGCUUGUGAAUGACAUGAUUUCAUACAACAGUUCAGUUCGGUCACUCAGCCGUGACUGACUCUUUGCAACCCCAUGAAUUGCAGCACGCCAGGCCUCCCUAUCCAUCACCAACUCCCAGAGUUUAUCCAAAAUCGUGUCCAUCGUAUCGGUGAUGCCAUCCAGCCAUCUCAUCCUCUGUCAUCCCCUUCUCCUCCUGCCCCCAAUCCCUCCCAGCAUCAGAGUCUUUUCCAAUGAGUCAACUCUUCGCAUCAGGUGGCCAAAGUACUGGAGUUUCAGCUUUAGCAUCACUCCUUCCAAAGAAAUCCCAGGGCUGAAUUCCUUUAGGAUGGACUGGUUGGAUCUCCUUGCAGUCCAAAGGACUCUCAAGAGUC